GAAUAUUGCUCAAUGGGCGCAAGCCUGAAGCAGCGACGCCGCGUGGACGAUGAAGGCUUUCGGGUCGUAAAGUCCUUUUCUGGGCGACGAGCAGGGACGGUAACCCAGGAAUAAGGGUCGGCUAACUAAGUGCCAGCAGCCGCGGUAAAACGUAGGACACGAGCGUUAUCCGGAGUUACUGGGCGUAAAGGGCGUUUAGGCGGGUGACUAAGUUCGCUAUGAAAGCGCCGGGCUAAACCCGGCGAGGCUGGCGGAUACUGGUGAUCUGGAGUGGGGUAGAGGGAAGUAGAAUUCCGCGUGUAGUGGUGAAAUGCGUAGAGAUGCGGAGGAAUACCAGUGGCGAAGGCGACUUCCUGGACCUUAACUGACGCUGAAGCGCGAAAGCAUGGGGAGCGAACGGG
This 401-nucleotide ribosomal RNA is filed under the name uncultured bacterium. Its description in RNAcentral is "bacterial SSU rRNA". It matches the Rfam family "Bacterial small subunit ribosomal RNA", at positions 359 to 776 of the family's 1533-position model. The record is from RNAcentral.